CUCCCUCCCUAACCAGCCAACACAGCCUCUGGGAGCUCACAGCCAAUGACUGACUGAUACAAGGCUGACCAGGUUGUCUCAAGGGGCAGGACAACUUUGCCUCCAGUGUAUGCCCCUGAGCUCCUCUGAGGAUCAAUUCAAGGAAUUAUGACUCAUCAGAAUCCUGGAGAACCUGUGCCUGCAUGGAGUGAACUUAAUAUAGUGCACAACACGGGCCAAUGAACACAGAAUUCUGGUGGACCUACUAUGCCUGGGAUUUCAGUGAGACUCAAAGUGAGUGCAAGCAGUACUCCUGUCUAGCCUGCUGCCAAUGGACCCCCUGUAUUCACCAUCAUAAAGAUUCAAUAUUCAAGACCACGAAGAAGAACCCAGACCAGGGAUUGCUUCAUUUGGAUUCCACCUACCGCAGUUGUUACAUCUAAGUAGGGACAACGAAAAUCUCCUGCUAUGGUCUUGAUCCUAGUCAGUAAAAGAGCAAAUUCCAAGCCUCCUAAGGGGCAUUUUCAUCCUUCCCCAUCUGUCCUUACAGAUAAGGAAGAGAUUCCAGGAAUGACUCGGUUCCUGGAACCUAGAAUUAGUCCCCCUUGUUUUCUUUAUCUAUCCAAAUCCUGUCUUAGGGAUCAACUUUCACAAGCUUUCUCUCCUUAAAGACUUUCACCUCGAAUUACCUUUUUUUUUUGUCAUAUUCCUAUUCCUAUCUGGAGUCACACUCUUGAGAACCUUCUAUACUUUCGUCAUGCAUUUAUUAGCAGAUAUCUAUAAAGUUCCUACAGUGUGUCAGGCACUGUGCUAGGCGCUAGUGCAACAAUGAUGAAUGCUAUACACAUCCACCUCACCCUUUUAUAGUUUAUAGUAUCAUGGGGAGAUGGAGAAGUAGAUGCUCAAUAAACACAUUUUGUCUGAUGGGUAUACCUUGAAACAGCAAAAGUAAAGUCUGUUUCAUCAUAAUUUGAUCCGUUCACAUUUAUGGGCCAGAUCCUGUGGUAGACCUGGGAUACAAAGAUGAACUAAACAGAGACUCUGCUCUCAAGAGUUUAUAUAAUCUGCAUUUGCAGGUUAUAAUAAACUCUGAUCUGCAUCUUUGGGCAAAAGCAUUCUUUUCUAGGUAUCUUAACCACGAUCUCAAGUAUGUGCUCUGUGUGUUUACUGACAUAUCAUCAAACACAGUCUGUAGGGAAAGUAAAUGAAAUACGAACCAAAGGCGCCAGUCCUUGGAGUGUUGUGGCUUCCUCUGCCUCGUAGAGAUAGAAAUUCAAAGGAGCAAAGAAGUAGCCAGGGGCUGGUUCAGAGCAGCUACGGCCAGUGACAUGUGGGCGGCAUUCACACUGCCCAUUCUUGGGUGAGCACCUGAGGAAAAAGCAAUUCAUCAUGAAAAAAUGCAAAGUAGGUGAGCGGAAAAUGAAGGUGUAGGGGUGCUGGGCUAAUGCUCCCUGAGUUUGGAGCAAUCCUUAGAAUCAGUCAAUCAAUGGUCCUGUGGGAAGAUGCAGAAAGGCCAUGGGUUUAACAUAACUGGUCUUGAAUAGUGAAUCCAGGGCCAUGGAGCCCAGGCGGCCACUUUCCCCACCCUCCGCCCCCAACCCCCCACUGCCAGGUUCUGCUCUAAAAUCUGGCAAAAAGGGGGCUUUAGGAUCUCUCUUUACAACAUGGCAAAAAGCUGGUGUUUUAGGCAGGUCACACGUAUUCAAGCACCCAUGCCACCAGCUUGUGGUGGGAUACCCAGCAGAAGGAUUGUUUACCUCACCCUUGGAAAUAUUUGAAGUGAAAGAAAUCAAUGGGCUGUAGUUAAUGUCUCAAGAUCAUUGCUUGUCAUGGAAUGAAAUUUUUCACCUAUGACUAUGAGCGUAUCAGAAUAAAAUGUGCUUUUAUGUUUAAAUAAGGAAUAUUGCUAUAAAACUUAUUUGACUUACACGUUAGAAUAAGCACCUCCAAUAUCACAGUCACAGGGAGAACACCCAUGGAGAUGAUUUCCCAGGCCCCAGUAUCCAACCUACAGAGAAAAAAUGCUCAGCUGAUUCCAGCUAUGAAGAUGCUGUUGCUCUGAAGUGCAACACUGAAAUCACUACAAUGCAAUUGCCACACGUCAAAUAGCCAAACAGCCUGCACCAUCUCAGAGAAACCUUCCUGGCCUAUGCGCUUGGCUAAUGAUCUUCCAUGGACACAUCUCCCAUCUCCAGGAUUUGA
RNAcentral lists this long non-coding RNA (2181 nucleotides) under Homo sapiens (human). Its description in RNAcentral is "HSALNT0127172". The record is from RNAcentral. Lineage: Eukaryota; Metazoa; Chordata; Mammalia; Primates; Hominidae.